RNAcentral lists this long non-coding RNA (69 nucleotides) under Sus scrofa (pig). RNAcentral's name for it is "lncRNA (ENSSSCG00040038321.1)". Lineage: Eukaryota; Metazoa; Chordata; Mammalia; Artiodactyla; Suidae. The record is from RNAcentral.
AAAUAACUUCAGAAUUGACCAUCUGCCCAUCCCUAUGCAAAGUUCUUUGCAUUCACCAGAAUAUUAGGC